RNAcentral lists this ribosomal RNA (438 nucleotides) under Ammonia sp. genotype T6. Its description in RNAcentral is "SSU rRNA". It matches the Rfam family "Eukaryotic small subunit ribosomal RNA", at positions 1187 to 1472 of the family's 1831-position model. The record is from RNAcentral. Lineage: Eukaryota; Foraminifera; Rotaliida; Rotaliidae.
UGGCUUAAUUUGACUCAACGCGGGAAAUCUUACCGGGUCCGGACACACUGAGGAUUGACAGAUAUAUACCCGUGAGUACUUCGGUGCUCGCGGGUUGAAAGAUGCUAGUUCUUUCAUGAUUAUGUGAUAGGUGGUGCAUGGCCGUUCUUAGUUCGUGGAGUGAUCUGUCUGCUUAAUUGCGUAUCAAUAAUAGAGACCUAGUAUACGCGUAGACUCAUGCGGUAGUGACCCCCCUUCACAGGGCGCGUGUCGCACGUAUGUUAUACGCACAGGUCUCCGAUAGCAACGAACGUGACCGUACUCUAUUGUUGCAGCGACAAUACCUUUCAACGGGUAUUACCGCUGCUUAGCAAGAUUCGUCUUGCAUUAAACUAUAGAGACCGCUGUUUCUUCUUUAAACCAGAGGAAGGAUACGGCAAUAACAGGUCUGUGAUGCCU